AGAUUUCCGAAUGGGGGAACCCACUAUCUUUAGUCGGAUAGUAUCCUUACGUGAAUACAUAGCGUGAGGAAGGCAGACCCAGGGAACUGAAACAUCUAAGUACCUGGAGGAAGAGAAAGAAAAAUCGAUUUCCUGAGUAGCGGCGAGCGAAACGGAAAGAGCCCAAACCAAGAAGCUUGCUUCUUGGGGUUGUAGGACACUCUAUACGGAGUUACAAAAGAAAGUUAUAAAUGAAGCGGUCUGGAAAGGCCCGCCAAAGACGGUAACAGCCCGGUAGUUGAAAUGGCUUUCCCUCCAGAGUGGAUCCUGAGUACGGCGGAACACGUGAAAUUCCGUCGGAAUCCGGGAGGACCAUCUCCCAAGGCUAAAUACUCCCUAGUGACCGAUAGUGAACCAGUACCGUGAGGGAAAGGUGAAAAGCACCCCGGAAGGGGAGUGAAACAGUUCCUGAAACCGUGUGCCUACAAGUAGUUAGAGCCCGUUAAUGGGUGAUAGCGUGCCUUUUGUAGAAUGAACCGGCGAGUUACGAUUUGUUGCAAGGUUAAGCGGAAAAAGCGGAGCCGUAGCGAAAGCGAGUCUGAAUAGGGCGCAUAAGUAACAGGUCGUAGACCCGAAACCAGGUGAUCUACCCAUGUCCAGGAUGAAGGUAAGGUAAUACUUACUGGAGGUCCGAACCCACGCACGUUGAAAAGUGCGGGGAUGAGGUGUGGGUAGCGGAGAAAUUCCAAUCGAACUUGGAGAUAGCUGGUUCUCUCCGAAAUAGCUUUAGGGCUAGCCUCGAGGUAAAGAGUCAUGGAGGUAGAGCACUGUUUGGACUAGGGGCCCUUCUCGGGUUACCGAAUUCAGAUAAACUCCGAAUGCCAUGUACUUAUACUCGGGAGUCAGACUGCGAGUGAUAAGAUCCGUAGUCGAAAGGGAAACAGCCCAGACCACCAGUUAAGGUCCCCAAAUAUAUGUUAAGUGGAAAAGGAUGUGGGGUUGCUUAGACAACCAGGAUGUUGGCUUAGAAGCAGCCACCAUUGAAAGAGUGCGUAAUAGCUCACUGGUCGAGUGACCCCGCGCCGAAAAUGUACCGGGGCUAAAC
This 1084-nucleotide ribosomal RNA is filed under the name Listeria innocua. RNAcentral describes it as "partial 23S ribosomal RNA". It matches the Rfam family "Bacterial large subunit ribosomal RNA", at positions 108 to 1187 of the family's 2925-position model. Lineage: Bacteria; Bacillati; Bacillota; Bacilli; Caryophanales; Listeriaceae. The record is from RNAcentral.